GCUACAGCUUCAAUAAAAUAAAACUCUGAAUAACCCUAAAUAACUUGAAACUUCUGAAAGAAACAAUAUCUUCCUCUGCUACAGAAUACUUACUGUUGUCACAUCAUUUCCCCAUGAGUGUGGAAACAGUAGGGGCAAUCAGAAUCAGAGCGUGCCUCUGGGUCGCCGUGGGAGCUUCUGGUGCACUGGAAAACUGAACGGAAAAGGGCAAACAGGACAAGAGAAAACCUGUGUGAAAGUGAAGUAAUCAAGUUUGGCACAGCACAGAUGUGAUGGAAAAAACAGUAUUAACUUACAGAUGAAUAAGACCUCAUGGCAGCCUACAGCUCCUCGUGCCCCUCCCUCAGUGGAGGGGCAGCAC
This 361-nucleotide long non-coding RNA is filed under the name Numida meleagris (helmeted guineafowl). Its description in RNAcentral is "lncRNA (ENSNMEG00000011556.1)". Lineage: Eukaryota; Metazoa; Chordata; Aves; Galliformes; Numididae. The record is from RNAcentral.